RNAcentral lists this ribosomal RNA (2867 nucleotides) under Bacteroidia bacterium. RNAcentral describes it as "23S ribosomal RNA". It matches the Rfam family "Bacterial large subunit ribosomal RNA". Lineage: Bacteria; Pseudomonadati; Bacteroidota; Bacteroidia. The record is from RNAcentral.
AAGUAAAUAAGAGCGUAUGGGGGAUGCCUGUGGCUCUUGGAGGCGAAGAAGGACGUAGUAAGCUGCGAGAAGCCGCGGGGAUCGGCAAACACGAAUUGAUCCGCGGAUAUCCGAAUGGGGCAACCCGGCAGGCAGGAGGCCUGUCACCCAGCAAUGGGGGCUAACCCGCUGAACUGAAACAUCUAAGUAGGCGGAGGAAGAGAAAACAAAAGUGAUUCCCGGAGUAGUGGCGAGCGAAACGGGACGAGCCCAAACCGAGAUUGUUACGGCAAUUUCGGGGUUGUAGGACUGCAAUAUAUUAGUAACGACGAAGUGGAACUGAACUGGAAAGUUUGGCCGCAGAGUGUGAUAGCCACGUACACGUAAGUUAGUUACGAGUUAGCAGUAUCCUGAGUAUGGCGGGACACGAGGAAUCCUGUCAGAAUCGGCCGGGACCACCCGGUAAGGCUAAAUACUCCCAAGAGACCGAUAGUGAACCAGUACCGUGAGGGAAAGGUGAAAAGUACCCCGAACAGGGGAGUGAAAAAGAACCUGAAACCAUGCGCUUACAACCGGUCGGAGCGGCUUAGUGCCGUGACGGCGUGCCUUUUGCAUAAUGAGCCUACGAGUUACUGAUCACUAGCGAGGUUAAGGGCUUUAAAGUCCGAAGCCGAAGCGAAAGCGAGUCUGAAUAGGGCGUGAUAGUUAGUGGUCGUAGACGCGAAACCUUGCGAUCUACCCUUGAGCAGGUUGAAGUCCGGGUAACACCGGAUGGAGGACCGCACCAAUAAACGUUGAAAAGUUUCUGGAUGACUUGAGGGUAGGGGUGAAAGGCUAAUCAAGCUGGGAAAUAGCUCGUACUCCCCGAAAUGCCUUUAGGGGCAGCGUUGUAUUACUCUACUGGAGGUAGAGCUACUGAUUGGAUGCGGGGGCUUCACCGCCUACCAAAUCCUGACAAACUCCGAAUGCCAGUAGAAGGAUGUACAGCAGUGAGCCACCGGGUGCUAAUGUCCGGUGACAAAAGAGGAACAACUCAGACCAUCAGCUAAGGCCCCCAAGAAUACACUAAGUUGAUCUAACGAUGUGCGACUGCAGCGACAGCUAGGAUGUUAGCUUGGAAGCAGCUAUUCAUUUAAAGAGUGCGUAACAGCUCACUAGUCGAGCGGUUGUGCGUGGAUAAUAAACGGGCAUCAAGUGUAUCGCCGAAGCUAUGGACGCAGUGUAAGCUGCGUGGUAGGGGAGCAUUCCAUCGACGUUGAAGCAGUGAGGUGACUCAUUGUGGAGUUUAUGGAAAAGCAAAUGUAGGCAUAAGUAACGAUAAGGCGGGAGAGUAACCCGCCCACCGCAAGACCAAGGUUUCCUGAUCAACGUUAAUCGGAUCAGGGUUAGUCGGGACCUAAGGGUAAGCCAUAAGGUGAGCUCGAUGGACAAUCGGUUAAUAUUCCGAUACCGGUCGAUACUGCGAUGGAGAGACGAAGAAGCGUAAGCUGCGCCGGCGGACGGAAGUGCCGGUUAAAGGAGUUAGGUAUACCUUUGGGGUAAUUCUCAGAGGUGCUGAUCUCUGACAGUACCGAGAGCCUUCGGGCGAUCGGAUAGCCAGCCCAAGCAGACUUCCAAGAAAAACUCCUAAGCAUCAGGUAUCGACAGCCCGUACCGUAAACCGACACAGGUGGUCGAGGAGAGUAUCCUAAGGUGCUCGAGUGAGUCACGGUUAAGGAACUAGGCAAAUUAACCCCGUAACUUCGGGAAAAGGGGUCCCUGAGCAAUCAGGGCGCAGCGAAGAGGUCCAGGCGACUGUUUAACAAAAACACAGGGCUCUGCCAAUACGAAAGUAGACGUAUAGGGCCUGACACCUGCCCGGUGCUGGAAGGUUAAGAGGGGAUGUCAUCGCAAGAGAAGCAUUGAAUCGAAGCCCCAGUAAACGGCGGCCGUAACUAUAACGGUCCUAAGGUAGCGAAAUUCCUUGUCGGGUAAGUUCCGACCUGCACGAAUGGUGUAACGAUCUGGACACUGUCUCAACCGUGAGCUCGGUGAAAUUGUAGUCCCGGUGAAGAUGCCGGGUACCCGCAACGGGACGAAAAGACCCCGUGAACCUUUACUGCAGCUUAACGCUGAAUUUGGGUGCAUAAUGUGUAGGAUAGGCAGGAGACUAUGAAGCAGGGCCGCCAGGUUUUGUGGAGUCGCCGUUGAAAUACUGCCCUUUGUGUAUUUGGAUUCUAACCCCUUGCGGGGGACACCGUUUGGUGGGUAGUUUGACUGGGGUGGUCGCCUCCAAAAGCGUAACGGAGGCUUCCCAAGGUACCCUCAGCACGAAUGGUAACCGUGCGUAGAGUGCAAUAGCAUAAGGGUGCUUGACUGCGAGACCGACAAGUCGACCAGGUGCGAAAGCAGGGUAUAGUGAUCCGGUGGUUCUGUGUGGACUGGCCAUCGCUCAAAGGAUAAAAGGUACUCCGGGGAUAACAGGCUGAUCGCCGCCAAGAGCUCAUAUCGACGCGGCGGUUUGGCACCUCGAUGUCGGCUCGUCACAUCCUGGGGCUGGAGAAGGUCCCAAGGGUUCGGCUGUUCGCCGAUUAAAGUGGCACGCGAGCUGGGUUCAGAACGUCGUGAGACAGUUCGGUCUCUAUCUGUUGCGGGCGUAGGAAAUUUGAGGGGUCCUGACUUUAGUACGAGAGGACCGAGUUGGACGAACCUCUGGUGUAUCGGUUAUGCCGCCAGGUGUAGCGCCGAGUAGCUAUGUUCGGAUUGGAUAAGCGCUGAAAGCAUCUAAGCGCGAAGCCUUCCCCAAGAUAAGAUUUCCCUUGAGGGUCGUGGGAGAUUACCACGUUGAUAGGCCGCAGGUCUAAAGGCAGUGAUGCCAAAGCCGAGCGGUACUAAUUACCCGAUAACUU